AACCGAGGAAGUGGGGAUGACGUCAAAUCAUCAUGCCCCUUAUGACCUGGGCUACACACGUGCUACAAUGGUUGGUACAACGAGUUGCGAGUCGGUGACGGCGAGCUAAUCUCUUAAAGCCAAUCUCAGUUCGGAUUGUAGGCUGCAACUCGCCUACAUGAAGUCGGAAUCGCUAGUAAUCGCGGAUCAGCACGCCGCGGUGAAUACGUUCCCGGGCCUU
RNAcentral lists this ribosomal RNA (220 nucleotides) under uncultured Streptococcus sp. Its description in RNAcentral is "partial 16S ribosomal RNA". It matches the Rfam family "Bacterial small subunit ribosomal RNA", at positions 1162 to 1382 of the family's 1533-position model. The record is from RNAcentral. Lineage: Bacteria; Bacillati; Bacillota; Bacilli; Lactobacillales; Streptococcaceae.